Molecule: ribosomal RNA, 315 nt
Filed under: uncultured eukaryote
Lineage: Eukaryota
Description: partial 18S ribosomal RNA
Rfam family: Eukaryotic small subunit ribosomal RNA
Source: RNAcentral
CCCUUAGACGUUCUGGGCCGCACGCGCGCUACACUGACCGGUGCAACAAGCAUCCGUCCUUGGCCGACAGGCCCGGGCAAUCUUUGAACGCCGGUCGUGAUGGGGAUAGACUUUUGCAAUUUUUGGUCUUCAACGAGGAAUUCCUAGUAAACGCAAGUCAUCAACUUGCAUUGAUUACGUCCCUGCCCUUUGUACACACCGCCCGUCGCACCUACCGAUUGAAUGGUCCGGUGAAGCCACCGGAUUGGCGCGCACCUCGGUGCCGCCGAGAAGUUGGCUAAACCUUACCAUUUAGAGGAAGGUGAAGUCGUAACA